ACUUAGCAACAAAGUAAACGUGAUAAAGGCAAUUUUAACAAAAAUAUAAGGUGGUCUGUAUUAGAUACAGCCCACCUGAUGAUGUAUUGAGAUAUGAACUGAUGAAUGAAGAAUAAUGGAUCAAGUGAUAAUAGUGUAAUAAUAAAGUAAAUAUGGUUGUUUAUUACAUUA
Strongylocentrotus purpuratus (purple sea urchin) is the source of this 171-nucleotide long non-coding RNA. RefSeq lists it as uncharacterized. The transcript has 2 exons. The record is from RefSeq and is a predicted model, not a curated record. Lineage: Eukaryota; Metazoa; Echinodermata; Echinoidea; Camarodonta; Strongylocentrotidae.